GCCCUUAGAGUUUGAUCAUGGCUCAGGAUGAACGCUGGCGGCGUGCCUAACACAUGCAAGUCGAACGGACUUACAUUGAAGCCUAGCGAUAUGUAAGUUAGUGGCGGACGGGUGAGUAACGCGUGGGUAACCUGCCUUGUACUGGGGGACAACAGUUGGAAACGACUGCUAAUACCGCAUAAGCGCACAGCUUCGCAUGAAGCAGUGUGAAAAACUCCGGUGGUACAAGAUGGACCCGCGUCUGAUUAGCUGGUUGGUGAGGUAACGGCCCACCAAGGCAACGAUCAGUAGCCGGCCUGAGAGGGUGAACGGCCACAUUGGGACUGAGACACGGCCCAAACUCCUACGGGAGGCAGCAGUGGGGAAUAUUGCACAAUGGGGGAAACCCUGAUGCAGCAACGCCGCGUGAGUGAAGAAGUAUUUCGGUAUGUAAAGCUCUAUCAGCAGGAAAGAAAAUGACGGUACCUGACUAAGAAGCCCCGGCUAACUACGUGCCAGCAGCCGCGGUAAUACGUAGGGGGCAAGCGUUAUCCGGAUUUACUGGGUGUAAAGGGAGCGUAGACGGUUUUGCAAGUCUGAAGUGAAAGCCCGGGGCUUAACCCCGGGACUGCUUUGGAAACUGUAGAACUAGAGUGCAGGAGAGGUAAGUGGAAUUCCUAGUGUAGCGGUGAAAUGCGUAGAUAUUAGGAGGAACACCAGUGGCGAAGGCGGCUUACUGGACUGUAACUGACGUUGAGGCUCGAAAGCGUGGGGAGCAAACAGGAUUAGAUACCCUGGUAGUCCACGCCGUAAACGAUGAUUACUAGGUGUUGGUGGGUACGACCCAUCGGUGCCGCAGCAAACGCAAUAAGUAAUCCACCUGGA
This 864-nucleotide ribosomal RNA is filed under the name uncultured Bacillota bacterium. RNAcentral describes it as "bacterial SSU rRNA". It matches the Rfam family "Bacterial small subunit ribosomal RNA", at positions 1 to 877 of the family's 1533-position model. Lineage: Bacteria; Bacillati; Bacillota. The record is from RNAcentral.